This 73-nucleotide transfer RNA is filed under the name Camelus bactrianus (Bactrian camel). It matches the Rfam family "tRNA". From Rfam's summary of the family: Transfer RNA (tRNA) molecules are approximately 80 nucleotides in length. Their secondary structure includes four short double-helical elements and three loops (D, anti-codon, and T loops). RNAcentral also lists the same sequence under 2 other names. Lineage: Eukaryota; Metazoa; Chordata; Mammalia; Artiodactyla; Camelidae. The record is from Rfam by way of RNAcentral.
GAAGGUGUAGCUCAAGUGGCAGAGUGUGUGCCUAACAUGCACAAGGUUCUGGGUUCAAUCCCCAGCACCUCCA